RNAcentral lists this ribosomal RNA (468 nucleotides) under uncultured bacterium. RNAcentral describes it as "partial 16S ribosomal RNA". It matches the Rfam family "Bacterial small subunit ribosomal RNA", at positions 28 to 507 of the family's 1533-position model. The record is from RNAcentral.
GACGAACGCUGGCGGCGUGCUUAACACAUGCCAGUCGAACGGAAAGGCCCUGCUUUUGUGGGGUGCUCGAGUGGCGAACGGGUGAGUAACACGUGAGUAACCUGCCCUGGACUUUGGGAUAACUUCAGGAAACUGGGGCUAAUACCGGAUAGGAGCUCCUGCUGCAUGGUGGGGGUUGGAAAGUUUCGGCGGUUGGGGAUGGACUCGCGGCUUAUCAGCCUGUUGGUGGGGUAGUGGCUUACCAAGGCUUUGACGGGUAGCCGGCCUGAGAGGGUGACCGGCCACAUUGGGACUGAGAUACGGCCCAGACUCCUACGGGAGGCAGCAGUGGGGAAUAUUGCACAAUGGGCGGAAGCCUGAUGCAGCAACGCCGCGUGCGGGAUGACGGCCUUCGGGUUGUAAACCGCUUUCGCCUGUGACGAAGCGUGAGUGACGGUAAUGGGUAAAGAAGCACCGGCUAACUACGUG